AAUAGUUUUAUGCUACAUCAGUAUUCUUAUCCUGAAUUUCAGGAUUUUAUCCUGAAAAAAAUCAAAUUCAAAUUAAAAUACUGAAAUUCAGGAUAAGAAUACUGAUAUGACAUAAAACUAUU
MicroRNA precursor from Gossypium arboreum, 122 nucleotides. It matches the Rfam family "MIR7504 microRNA precursor family". Lineage: Eukaryota; Viridiplantae; Streptophyta; Magnoliopsida; Malvales; Malvaceae. The record is from Rfam.